UACGGAGGGUGCGAGCGUUAAUCGGAAUUACUGGGCGUAAAGCACACGCAGGCGGUUUGUUAAGCUAGAUGUGAAAGCCCCGGGCUCAACCUGGGAUGGUCAUUUAGAACUGGCAGACUAGAGUCUUGGAGAGGGGAGUGGAAUUCCAGGUGUAGCGGUGAAAUGCGUAGAUAUCUGGAGGAACAUCAGUGGCGAAGGCGACUCCCUGGCCAAGACUGACGCUCAUGUGCGAAAGUGUGGGUAGCGAACAGG
This 252-nucleotide ribosomal RNA is filed under the name uncultured bacterium. Its description in RNAcentral is "partial 16S ribosomal RNA". It matches the Rfam family "Bacterial small subunit ribosomal RNA", at positions 524 to 776 of the family's 1533-position model. The record is from RNAcentral.